This 405-nucleotide ribosomal RNA is filed under the name uncultured bacterium. RNAcentral describes it as "partial 16S ribosomal RNA". It matches the Rfam family "Bacterial small subunit ribosomal RNA", at positions 30 to 526 of the family's 1533-position model. The record is from RNAcentral.
AUUGAACGCUGGCGGCAGGCUUAACACAUGCAAGUCGAACGAGUGGCGGACGGGUGAGUCCUGCUUGGGAAUCUGGCUUAUGGAGGGGGAUAACUACGGGAAACUGUAGCUAAUACCGAGUACCAUAGGAUGAGCCCAAGAGGGAUUAGGUAGUUGGUGAGGUAAAGGCGACCCAUGCAGACGAUCUCUAGCUGGUCUGUGAGGAUGAACGGCCACACUGGGAUGGUGACACGGCCCAGACUCCUACGGGAGGCAGCAGUGGGGAAUAUUGCGCAAGUUGGGCAACCUGACGCAGCCAUGCCGCGUGAAUGAAGAAGGCCUUCGGGUUGUAAAGUUCUUUCGGUAGCGAGGCGUUAACUACAGAAGAAGCACCGGCUAACUCCGUGCCAGCAGCCGCGGUAAUAC